GCAUAUCAAUAAGCGGAGGAAAAGAAAAUAACAAUGAUUCCCCCAGUAACUGCGAGUGAAGAGGGACAAGCUCAAAUUUUAAAUCUGUCGGGUUCUCCUGACCGAGUUGUAAUUUGAAGAAGCGUUUUCCGCGCCGUUUGAUCAGCCCAAGUCUUAUUGAAUGAGGCAUCAUGGAGGGUGAUAAUCCCGUUCGGUUGAUCAAUUGUGCUUUAUGAUACGUCAUCAAAGAGUCAAGUUGUUUGGGAUUGCAGCUUAAAAUGGGAGGUAAAUUUCUCCUAAGGCUAAAUAACGGCGAGAGACCGAUAGCGAACAAGUACCGUGAGGGAAAGAUGAAAAGAACUUUGAAAAGAGAGUUAAAUAGUACGUGAAAUUGUUGAAAGGGAAACGAUUGAAGCCAGUCGUACCUGCGGGUAAUCAGCCUUUUGGGCAUGAUUCUGUGGAGCGUGAGGAGUUAAACGCCUUCAUGCCUGCAUAUUCGUGUACUUUGGGUGUACUUGCCUGUGUGGUUAGUUAACAUCAAUUUUGGUUAUCAUAAAAUGGCUGGAGGAAUGUAGCUUCGAUUUCGAUUGAAGUGUUAUAGCCUUCGGCAGAUGUGAUGAUCGGGAUUGAGGAUUGCAACGGAUACCCUUCGGGGCUACCUGUCUGAUCUCUGAUCGUUGCUCUGGUGCCGAAAGCGUGCUUACGGUUAUCAAAGUCGAUGGUUAAUAGGUUAGAACGGGUUAAAUUCGUUAAGGAUGUUGACGUA
RNAcentral lists this ribosomal RNA (745 nucleotides) under uncultured fungus. RNAcentral's name for it is "eukaryotic LSU rRNA". It matches the Rfam family "Eukaryotic large subunit ribosomal RNA", at positions 38 to 633 of the family's 3401-position model. The record is from RNAcentral. Lineage: Eukaryota; Fungi.